CCGCGUCUGCCGUGUUUUUGGAUUUUUGUGCUCUCUCUCUCUCUCUCUCUCCCUCUCUGUGUUCGGGACUUUAGGGAGAGAGCGGUUUUCCGCUGCUUGUUUCUCACUCUACCACUGCCGUUCGCCUCCCCAAAUGUGGAGUUUCAAACCCUAAAAUCUCCAUCUCUCUGCCAGUCCUUCUCGAUCGCCUCAGCCAUUUGCUCCCGCUACUCGUGCGGAGCAAGAAUCACUCCUCACUUCGCCUGCAAUCCAUUGAAGAUUUGGUCCACUUCGCGCCUGAUUCUGCAAUCUGUACCUUCUUGUUCUUUUUCUGCGUUUGUAUUCUAUGGUCUCGGUUUAAUUUUCAGUUCUGCAUGUGAAUGCGCGACUGUCUGUGUGUGUUUUGGGGGGCGGGGGUUUUGGGGGUAUUGGGAAUGCUCGGUUUUACAAGCUUAAAGUAGGAGAUUGGUUAUAUUAUUACGCAAAUGUUCAAUGAUUCGUGCUUGCUUCUGUCAUCAGUGUGCGAUUUUUAGUGUUCUAUCUUCUUCACUGUUCAACUUCGUCUCUCCAAAAGCAGGUUGUGCAUUCUUGGUUUUGAGUCAUCAUCUGUUAGUUUUAGGGCUCUGUAUUCAACUAUGGGUGGUGACGCUGGCGCGAGUCUUCUCAAUGGCAAUGGUAGUUCCCAACCUGAUGUGCAGAGGACGUACCAAGUCGUCGUGGCUGCGGCUCAAAAUAUGGGUAUUGGUAAGGAUGGAAAAUUACCCUGGAGAUUGCCUUCUGACAUGAAAUUUUUCAAGGAUAUUACUGUGACUACGUCUGAUCCUGUGAAAAAGAAUGCAGUCAUAAUGGGUAGAAAAACAUGGGAGAGCAUUCCCCUUAAGGAUCGGCCUCUAGCUGGUCGCCUCAAUGUCGUGCUAACCCGUUCUGGGAGUUUUGAUAUUGCAACUGCAGAGAAUGUUGUAAUAUGUGGAAGCAUGACUUCUGCUUUAGAGUUAUUAGCAGCAUCUCCUUAUUCCCUGUCAAUUGAAAAAGUGUUUGUUAUAGGAGGUGGCCAGAUAUUAAGUGAAUAUCUCAACGCACCUGGAUGUGAUGCUAUCCACAUUACUGAAAUUGAGAUAGACAUUGAAUGCGACGCUUUCAUCCCUGCUAUCGAUUGCUCUGUUUUUCAGCCGUGGUACUCGUCCUUUCCGGCUGUGGAAAACAAUAUUCGAUAUUCCUUCAAUACGUUUGUUCGUGUGAGGAGUUCCGGAGUUGAACCCGCAAGACAGGACAAUGGUUUGAUAGUUGAUACUAAGUCAGAUUCUCUGAAGCUUGAGGUAAAGAACUUCUCUUUCCUGCCUAAGAUGAUUUUUGAGAGACAUGAGGAGUACCUGUAUCUGGAUUUGGUUCAAGACAUCAUCUCAAACGGUGCUCUGAAGGAUGACAGAACAGGCACUGGUACGCUCUCCAAAUUUGGUUGCCAGAUGCGAUUCAAUCUGCGCAAAACUUUUCCUCUUUUUACAACUAAGAAAGUAUUUUGGCGAGGAGUAGUUGAAGAACUUUUGUGGUUCAUCAGUGGUUCAACAAAUGCUAAGGUCCUUCAGGAAAAGGGCAUUCAUAUCUGGGAUGGCAAUGCAUCUAGAGACUUUCUUGAUAGUAUUGGUUUGGCAGAUAGGGAAGAGGGUGAUUUGGGUCCCAUAUAUGGGUUCCAGUGGAGACACUUUGGUGCUAGGUAUACUGACAUGCAUGCUGACUAUAGUGGCCAAGGAUUUGAUCAGUUGUUGGAUGUUAUUGACAAGAUUAAAAAUAAACCCAAUGAUCGGAGGAUUAUACUGUCAGCUUGGAAUCCUUCUGAUCUCAAAUUGAUGGCACUUCCACCUUGCCACAUGUUUGCUCAGUUUUAUGUGGCCAAUGGGGAGUUAUCUUGUCAAAUGUAUCAGCGCUCUGCUGACAUGGGUCUUGGUGUACCAUUUAACGUCGCAUCUUAUGCUCUUUUGACAUGCAUGAUAGCCCAUGUUUGUGAUCUUGUUCCAGGUGAUUUUAUCCAUGUGAUUGGGGAUGCUCAUGUUUAUCGUACACAUGUUGUGCCUCUAAAGGAGCAGCUUCUGAAUCUGCCAAAACCUUUCCCUAUUUUGAAGAUUAAUGCUGAAAAGAAGAAUAUAGAUUCAUUUGUGGCAUCCGAUUUUAAACUCAUAGGUUAUGAUCCUCACCAGAAAAUAGAAAUGAAAAUGGCGGUGUAGAGUUCCACUGUGUUAACAUAAAGAAAACUUGGAUCUGUUCCUCUUUUUCAGGCAAUCUCUGCCCUUAAUUCUGAGGAACAGCCACAAUAGACGGAGGUUUGUGUGGAUAUAAAUACAAAUAAAAAGAACUGCUAGUUGGAUGAACUUAAAGCCUUAUAUAUAUAUAUGUGGUUAGUAAUUGAGAAUCCUUUGGUUCCAGAAAGAAUGAUGGUUCUGAGGUGAUUUAGGACACAUAAAUUUCAAUGUUAAGGUUGGUUGGUUGGUUGGUUUGUUUGUGCUCUUAUAUUAUGUGGAGAUUUUGCUUUUCUAAAUGCUGCAACUCUGCUCUGAUAAACUGCAGUUUAUUAUGUGAGAGUGAGACCACCAAGAUUUAUUGCUUAAUGGCAUUGUACUUUUUAUUACUUUUAGCUUUA
RNA transcript from Malania oleifera, 2611 nucleotides. It is a transcript of the gene named bifunctional dihydrofolate reductase-thymidylate synthase-like, with no coding region annotated. The record is from RefSeq and is a predicted model, not a curated record. The transcript is spliced from 12 exons. Lineage: Eukaryota; Viridiplantae; Streptophyta; Magnoliopsida; Santalales; Ximeniaceae.